This 2823-nucleotide unclassified non-coding RNA is filed under the name Hevea brasiliensis (rubber tree). Lineage: Eukaryota; Viridiplantae; Streptophyta; Magnoliopsida; Malpighiales; Euphorbiaceae. The record is from RNAcentral.
AGUUUUUUUUUUUUUUUUUCAAUUAUCUUUUUUUAGUUGAGCUGAAGAAUUGCAGCCAAGGCCCCUCUGUGAGCAAGCAUGUUUUCUAUAUUGUAUAGACUUAAGUCGGGUCCUUAACUAUAGCUGAAUACAUUGAAGUUGAUGAUGCUGGCUCUCCUACACGAAAUAUAGUGCUUUUCCUAAAUUUCUUCACAUGAAAAAUCUAUAUCAACUUGCAUGUGAUCUUAAUUAUCGUAUUUUCCAUAUACUUGUAUGAAACUUUUACAGCUAUUCCAGUUUCUUUUUCUGUGCAACACUUCAUCUUAUUUUGAGCUGAUAUCCUCGAGCCGAGCCUCAUAAUUGAAAAGAAGAGGGAAGAACAUUAACGUGCUCUGUAACAGAAUCCUAUAAAGAUGAUUGCCAUCUAGUAAGGAAAAAAAAUAUACCAACGAAAUCGACAGUAUAAAGGAAUAUAGACAACAGAUGCCCCUAUAGAUCUUGGGGAAAAAAAAAACUGAGCUUUUGUCGUAUCCAAAAACAUGCAAUCCAGCAGAAAAUCAUCUUUGUCAAUGCAUGUAAGACCAAGAAAUGUAUUAAGUUGUCCUUUAGCUGUUGGUCAUUUAGAUUAAUGAAUCUCAGGUCUGCGAUAUCUUUUCUUCCUGUUAAGUGUAAACUGCACCGAAGAUCUCUUACGUGAUACUGCCUUCCAAAUCAUAUCUACAGCAUCACCAGGCUGAGAUGGAUACUGAUAUUCAAACUGCGGUGCAAUAUCCUUUAGUCUUUCCCACAUCAUGGUCCACUUGUCUCGCUCAAUACUCCGAAGAAGAUUCAGUAGGUAACCUUUCUUAACAGCAUCAGAUGCACGCACAAAUACACUGAAUUUUGAGUAGUCUAAGACAUCUUCAAAUGGUAGCUCAAUGUCAUCGCUUAUUAUCACAGGAACACAGUGACUCACAAUGGCAUCGAAGAGGCGAUUUGAGGAAGGGGUAUCGCCAGCGAUAUUGAGACAGAACUUGGAUGAGGCCAUUCCGUGACUAGCCUUGUUGAUCCCAUUCCCUCGAACAGUUCCAAAUGUAAAGUGUACAUUUUUCUCAUCUCUCAGAAGGUAAUACAGUUCUUGGCGAAUGACUCCUCCAUCCUUCCUAUAUAUUGCUCCUUGGAAAAACACCAAAAUGGGACGCUCGUCAAACUGAGCUGAUUUACCACUUGGAAUUGUCCUCACAACAUGCUUGUAAGGAGCUAUUAUAUCCUUCCCAAGAUUUGCAAUUUCAAGCGGGUAUCUACCGAAAUCUGCAAGAAUGAACAUGGCAGAACCCAACUUCUUUCUAGCAUCUAUCAUGCUAUUUGGAUGGUGGGCUACAAUCAAAUGAUCCCUUCCCCCAUAUCGCUUCCAUUCAUGCUGACCCAUUAAAAAUUGCACCAAUCUAUCCUGCAACAUCUUGUUCACGCUAACUUUUUCCUUUCCAUGAAGCUUAGAAUGUUGAUUGUAACUCAAAGAUGAGAAAAAUGGCACAAAAAUUAUAUCUGCUUGACUAGAAUUCUGCACUCUAACCGCACUGCAAGGUCUGGCCACCUUGGGUGUGCUUGAUGCUAGAAGAUCAAGGGUCAGCCAGUAUUCUAUACUGUGCUGUAGGUUCAACCCACCUGGGUAUAGUGGGAUAUGAUUAAGGUCAUCAACAUUUGGCCAUGUUUGAUUUGCUUUUCCCUUCCAAGCCAAUAACCCAAAAUGAAAAUCAGGAGGCAAGUCAUACAUAUAUACCCUUAAGAGAGCUCGAUUGUGGUCACAAUUUUUCCUUUUUUGCUUUCCAAUAGCAGCCAUUUCUGAAUUUGGACAUUUAACACCUCCACUUCUCAUUGAUGCUUUAGUAUCAAUCUGUGAUGCCAUGGAAGAGAAGAAGGGAAUUUUGACUGGUUCACUUUUGACAUUGGAUUUCAAAUAAAGUGCUGUACUAUUCAGAAGAAUUAGCUUGAAAACAGACCCGGGUAGGAGAGAAAUAUUGCCUAGUUGAAGAAGGGAAACUGAGGAAAUGAUAAAAAAGAACAUAGAAAUGGGAAUCAAGAAAAAAAGAAACCUAGAGGGAAGUCUGCUUUUCUCAGACAUUGACGGAAUUAGCAGAACCGCUAGAUUACUCAAGAUGAAUGAAAGCAAUUAAAGUUACUUUCCCAAUGAAGAGAGGUACAGUAAAGAUUUCUUGUAUAUGCCCAAGCAAAAUGUAUCUUGGCUUCUAAAUGCCUCAAUGUAGAGGGUAAUCGCUUGAAAAACGAGGUAUUAAUUCCUAAGCAUUAACAAGAAUUACUUCGUUUCCAUAAACAGGAUUAUCUCCAAAUAAAGGCUAGAAUUCCGCCCUUAAACCCUUGAAAAGAUUUCAAGGAUUCAUCUACAACAUAUUGUCAACAAAUAUCAACCAUCAACCACCUGAAAAUAUCCAAAACACAACUCACUUAUUCAGUGCUUAUAUUUUCUGAACUUGUUCUUCAUGAUUCUGUAAAAAAAAUAAAAAACACGAAUGCUUCUCUUCUUCUUUGAGCUAUCAGAGUACGUACUCCAUCUGCAAACCAAGUCGAUAAAAAAACUCAAAAAAUCAUAAUUUUGAGCAGGCACAUAUUCAUGGAAAGUUGAGGAACAUCCUAAACAAAUGAAAAACAGAGUGAGAAACAAGUAUCAAAUCAAACUUUUAUCAUCUGGGCAUGCAAGAUAUAUGAUUUGAUUAAACGGGUCAAUUAGAACUUGCAAGAAAGAGUACCCGGUCAGCUAGGUUUUCAAGUUUCCAUGGCCUUCAAGCACCUUUCCAGUCUGUGAAGCACGCAGGGGAAGGCAUGUCUGGAAAAUUCGAAAGUCUCCGC